AAGAAAAGCAAAAUAUCAUGUGUUUAUAUGAACCUGUACCAGAAACCGACACAGGUAGGGUGGUUGAGGAGACCAAGGGGCGCGAGUGAACUCUCUCUAAGGAACUCGGCAAAAUGACCCUGUAACUUCGGGAGAAAGGGUGCCUUACCAUUUUUUGGAAGGCCACAGUAACAAGACCCAGGCGACUGUUUAUCAAAAACACAGGUCUCCGCAAAGUCGUAAGACAACGUAUGGGGGCUGACGCCUGCCCAGUGCCGGAAGGUUAAUUGCGGUGGUUAGUGAAUAACGAAGCCACCAAUCGAAGCCCCGGUGAACGGCGGCCGUAACUAUAACGGUCCUAAGGUAAAAUUCCUUGUCGGGUAAGUUCCGACCCGCACGAAAGGCGUAACGAUCUGGGUACUGUCUCGGAGAGAGGCUCGGCGAAAUAGAAUUGUCUGUGAAGAUGCGGACUACCCCCACCAGGACAGAAAGACCCUAUGAAGCUUUACUGUAGCUUGAAAUUGUUGCCGAGUAUAUCGUGCGCAGCUUAGGUGGGAGGCUUUGACGAUGCACUUCCGGGUGUAUAAGAGCCAUUAGUGAGAUACCACUCUCGAUAUACUCAGCAUCUCAUCAUAUACUUUUAGCAAGUUAUGAGACAGUUUUAGGUGGGCAGUUUGACUGGGGCGGUCGCCUCCUAAAAGGUAACGGAGGCGCACAAAGGUAUCCUCAGGCUGUUUAGAAAUCAGCUGUGGCGUGUAAAGGCAUAAGGAUGCUUGACUGCGAGACCUACAAGUCGAGCAGGGACGAAAGUCGGUCUUAGUGAUCCGACGGUUCCAUGUGGAAGGGCCGUCGCUCAACGGAUAAAAGUUACUCUAAGGAUAACAGGCUGAUCUCCCCCAAGAGUUCACAUCGACGGGGAGGUUUGGCACCUCGAUGUCGGCUCAUCGCAACCUGGGGCGGAAGUACGUCCCAAGGGUUGGGCUGUUCGCCCAUGAAAGCGGUACGCGAGCUGGGUUCAGAACGUCGUGAGACAGUUCGGUCUAUAUCCGGUGGAGGCGUUAGAAUAUUGAGAGGAUUCUUCCUUAGUACGAGAGGACCGGGAAGGACACACAACCGGUAUACCAGUUAUUGUUGCCAACGGUAAACGCUGGGUAGCUUUGUGUGGAGUGGAUAACUGCUGAAAGCAUCUAAGUAGGAAGCCCACCUCAAGAUGAGUAUUCUCUAAGGUCACGGUAAGAACAACCGUUAGAUAGGCGUUAAGUGUAAGUGCAGUAAUGUAUUCAGCUGAGACGUACUAAUAGACC
Molecule: ribosomal RNA, 1283 nt
Filed under: metagenome
Description: bacterial LSU rRNA
Rfam family: Bacterial large subunit ribosomal RNA
Source: RNAcentral